AUGUGCUACAAGGUGGAGUGCGACAAAUGCGGCAAGAUCACCUGGAAGGGGUGCGGCAAGCAUGUCGCUUCCGUCUACGAAGACAUCGAGAAAGGAAAGCACUGCACCUGCAAGGCGUGGCCGGGUGUUGACACAGAAGGGUCGUCCUCGAACACCAAAGAAGGUGACGUGCUUUUGCUUGAAUCUUUUUCAUCUGUCCAGAAUCGCAAGACAGAUUUACUGAGAAUGGUUCCCGGGGCUGUACUUGCAGGUGGAGGAAAAGCUUGA
This 267-nucleotide ribosomal RNA is filed under the name Triticum aestivum (bread wheat). RNAcentral describes it as "partial small subunit ribosomal RNA". Lineage: Eukaryota; Viridiplantae; Streptophyta; Magnoliopsida; Poales; Poaceae. The record is from RNAcentral.